This 23-nucleotide non-coding RNA is filed under the name Arabidopsis thaliana (thale cress). Lineage: Eukaryota; Viridiplantae; Streptophyta; Magnoliopsida; Brassicales; Brassicaceae. The record is from RNAcentral.
AGAUGGUGUAUGUGAAUGUCGGA